UGGCGCCUUCGGUGUCCGAGUUGUAAUUUGAAGAAGGUAACUUUGGUUUUGGCUCUUGUCUAUGUUCCUUGGAACAGGACGUCACAGAGGGUGAGAAUCCCGUGCGAUGAGAUGCCCAAUUCCAUGUAAAGUGCUUUCGAAGAGUCGAGUUGUUUGGGAAUGCAGCUCUAAGUGGGUGGUAAAUUCCAUCUAAAGCUAAAUAUUGGCGAGAGACCGAUAGCGAACAAGUACAGUGAUGGAAAGAUGAAAAGAACUUUGAAAAGAGAGUGAAAAAGUACGUGAAAUUGUUGAAAGGGAAGGGUUUGAGAUCAGACUUGGUAUUUUGUAUGUUUUACUCUCGGGUGAGGCCUCUGCAGUUUACUGGGCCAGCAUCAGUUUGGAUGGUAGGAUAAUGACAUUGGAAUGUGGCUCUUCGGAGUGUUAUAGCCCUUGUUGAUAC
RNAcentral lists this ribosomal RNA (439 nucleotides) under Scheffersomyces coipomensis. Its description in RNAcentral is "eukaryotic LSU rRNA". It matches the Rfam family "Eukaryotic large subunit ribosomal RNA", at positions 123 to 569 of the family's 3401-position model. The record is from RNAcentral. Lineage: Eukaryota; Fungi; Ascomycota; Pichiomycetes; Serinales; Debaryomycetaceae.